GUACGCAGACCUUACCCCUACCCUUGAAUAGAGAGGCUAUUUCCAAAUAGACCAUCUGACAUUCUUACCAUCUUAGAAAACCUAUUUGAUACCCUUAGCUGUGUUAAUAUAUAUGGUUUUCGCAAGGCAAAAAAGAAGAUAUUGUUGUAGUAGGUGUGAAGAUUUUGGUAAUCCGUAGUACUGAAUAAAGUAAGUUUCAUUUACAUCAGAGUUUCUUUGUUUGCCUGAUUGAUGUUUUAUCAUGUGGAGUCUGUUAUAUAUGGUCCAUUAUAUUUAUGUGGCGAUCGAGUACUGUGUAAAAUGUCUUGAAUACUUUCAAGUCUGAAAUAAAUAUUGUUGCAGCAUUUACUUUUUGAAGUGAAAAAUAACUGCCUUUGUUUUGUGUACUAGGUACUGCCAAUUAUUUUUAUUUACACGGCUCGAUCUGUUGGACUCAUGUUCAUAUUAUCCAGUUAAAGGUUUAAUAAUUUAAUUUUUUUUUUAUUUUCAAUUUUAUUUGAAAUUGGAUUCGAUUUAUUGAUAUUUUGAGUGUCUUUAAGAGAAAACAAUACUCAUGAUUUAUAAAUAGAGCAAUCUUAGAGAAUUGUUUUAUAUUUACUAAUUCAAGUUUUUGAAAGACUUAAGCACAUAAGAAUAGUUUUUGAGAGAGCUUUCAUCAAGAGAGAAGAGAGAAGAAAAAUAUUUAUUUUCCUGUAGAUUUUUAUUUCGAUCAGCCAACAUUAAAUUCACGUUUUCUUAUUCGUUAACUAUUGGAUCGGACUGAAACUUUUACCGAGAGUUCGUAACAUCUUGUUCUUGGAUUUGAACGGUGAAGAUCGGAUUUGUAGACUUGUAGCAUCUGAUUUCGUGCCUCGAACAAUAGCUUCAUUUUUUGUGGAUUAUACUCUUUCUUUGAUUAAUUAGUUGUUGACUUGUUGUUAUGCUCCGUGUUUGUCACUUGUUGUGUUGUUGAUUUGAAGAAUUUUGUAAUCUUCUUAUUAUUAUGGUGGAGUUUUUUUGGAUCUUUGUGAUCCCGUGAUUUUUACCUUCAAUUUGAAGGGUUUUCCACGUUAAAACUUAGUGUUCUUUAUCUUUUUUAUUUUCGAAUUUAUUUCUUCUUGUACAUAACACGAACCUAGACCACUUAUUAAGAAUAAAGGGAUCUUAUUCAUCCACUCAAACCCUCGGUAGUGAGACCUCUAUUAAUAUC
RNAcentral lists this long non-coding RNA (1189 nucleotides) under Nicotiana benthamiana. RNAcentral describes it as "long non-coding RNA (NBEN_LNC037714)". The record is from RNAcentral. Lineage: Eukaryota; Viridiplantae; Streptophyta; Magnoliopsida; Solanales; Solanaceae.